AGAGUUUGAUCCUGGCUCAGAUUGAACGCUGGCGGCAUGCCUAACACAUGCAAGUCGAACGGCAGCACGGUACUAGUUUACUAGUAUGGGUGGCGAGUGGCGCACGGGUGAGUAACGCGUAGGAAUAUGCCUUAAAGAGGGGGACAACUUGGGGAAGCUCAAGCUAAUACCGCAUACACUCUAAGGAGUAAAGCUGGGGACCUUCGGGCCUGGCGCUUUAAGAAUAGCCUGCGUCUGAUUAGCUAGUUGGUGGGUAAAGGCCUACCAAGGCGAUGAUCGGUAGCUGGUCUGAGAGGACGAACAGCCACACUGGGACUGAGACACGGCCCAGACUCUUACGGGAGGCAGCAGUGGGGAAUAUUGGACAAUGGGGGAAACCCUGAUCCAGCAAUGCCGCGUGUGUGAAGAAGGCCUGCGGGUUGUAAAGCACUUUCGGUGGGGAGGAGGGUUGAUUGGUUAAGAGCUGAUUGACUGGACGUUACCCACAUAAGAAGCACCGGCUAACUCCGUGCCAGCAGCCGCGGUAACACGGAGGGUGCGAGCGUUAAUCGGAAUUACUGGGCGUAAAGGGUGCGUAGGUGGUAUGGUAAGUUAUUUGUGAAAGUCCUGGGCUUAACCUGGGAAUGCCAGAUAAGACUGCUGAACUAGAGUAUUGGGGAGGGUAGUGGAAUUUCCGGUGUAGCGGUGAAAUGCGUAGAGAUCGGAAGGAACAUCGGUGGCGAAGGCGGCUACCUGGCCAAAUACUGACACUGAGGCACGAAAGCGUGGGGAGCAAACAGGAUUAGAUACCCUGGUAGUCCACGCCGUAAACGAUGUCAACUAGCUGUUUGUUAUUUAAAUAUAAUGAGUGGCGCAGCUAGCGCGGUAAGUUGACCGCCUGGGGAGUACGGUCGCAAGAUUAAAACUCAAAGGAAUUGACGGGGGCCCGCACAAGCGGUGGAGCAUGUGGUUUAAUUCGAUGCAACGCGAAGAACCUUACCUACCCUUGACAUACAGUGAACUUUGCAGAGAUGCGAAGGUGCCGAAAGGAACACUGAUACAGGUGCUGCAUGGCUGUCGUCAGCUCGUGUCGUGAGAUGUUGGGUUAAGUCCCGUAACGAGCGCAACCCUUAUUCUUAGUUACCAGCACGUAAAGGUGGGGACUCUAAGGAGACUGCCGGUGACAAACCGGAGGAAGGCGAGGACGACGUCAAGUCAUCAUGGCCCUUAUGGGUAGGGCUACACACGUGCUACAAUGGUUGGUACAGAGGGGAGCGAAGGGGUGACCUGGAGCGAAUCUUAAAAGCCAAUCGUAGUCCGGAUUGAAGUCUGCAACUCGACUUCAUGAAG
This 1329-nucleotide ribosomal RNA is filed under the name metagenome. Its description in RNAcentral is "bacterial SSU rRNA". It matches the Rfam family "Bacterial small subunit ribosomal RNA", at positions 8 to 1325 of the family's 1533-position model. The record is from RNAcentral.